AUACGAAAGGUGCAAGCGUUGUUCGGAUUUACUGGGCGUAAAGAGAGUGUAGGUGGUUUAUUAAGUCGGAUGUGAAAUCCCGGGGCUCAACCUCGGAACUGCAUUCGAUACUGAUAGGCUAGAGUUUGGGAGGGGUAAGCGGAAUUCCGUGUGUAGCAGUGAAAUGCGUAGAUAUACGGAGGAACACCUGAGGCGAAGGCGGCUCACUGGCUCGAUACUGACGCUGAGGUGCGAAAGCGUGGGGAGCAAACAGGAUUAGAUACCCUAGUAGUCC
Molecule: ribosomal RNA, 274 nt
Filed under: uncultured bacterium
Lineage: Bacteria
Description: partial 16S ribosomal RNA
Rfam family: Bacterial small subunit ribosomal RNA
Source: RNAcentral